This 84-nucleotide microRNA precursor is filed under the name Pteropus alecto (black flying fox). RNAcentral's name for it is "mir-541 microRNA precursor family". It matches the Rfam family "mir-541 microRNA precursor family". RNAcentral also lists the same sequence under 1 other name. The record is from Rfam by way of RNAcentral. Lineage: Eukaryota; Metazoa; Chordata; Mammalia; Chiroptera; Pteropodidae.
ACGUCAGGGAAGGGGUUCUGCCGUCGGUCCCACUGCAAAGUUCGCAGAGUGGGAGGUGGGCGCAGAAUCCCGACUCUGCUUGUG